CUUUAUUGGAGAGUUUGAUCCUGGCUCAGGACGAACGCUGGCGGCGUGCCUAAUACAUGCAAGUCGA
RNAcentral lists this ribosomal RNA (67 nucleotides) under Brevibacillus sp. AG162. RNAcentral describes it as "partial 16S ribosomal RNA". It matches the Rfam family "Bacterial small subunit ribosomal RNA", at positions 1 to 65 of the family's 1533-position model. Lineage: Bacteria; Bacillati; Bacillota; Bacilli; Caryophanales; Paenibacillaceae. The record is from RNAcentral.